This 39-nucleotide ribosomal RNA is filed under the name Dermocybe malicoria. RNAcentral describes it as "partial 28S ribosomal RNA". The record is from RNAcentral. Lineage: Eukaryota; Fungi; Basidiomycota; Agaricomycetes; Agaricales; Cortinariaceae.
GUGACCUCAAAUCAGGUAGGACUACCCGCUGAACUUAGC